GGGCCCCUAGCUCGAUCUGGUAGAGCGCUCGCUUCGCAAGCGAGCGGCUCCGGGUUCGAAUCCCGGGGGCGUCCA
RNAcentral lists this transfer RNA (75 nucleotides) under Halosimplex pelagicum. RNAcentral describes it as "tRNA-Ala". It matches the Rfam family "tRNA". Rfam says of the family: Transfer RNA (tRNA) molecules are approximately 80 nucleotides in length. Their secondary structure includes four short double-helical elements and three loops (D, anti-codon, and T loops). Lineage: Archaea; Methanobacteriati; Methanobacteriota; Halobacteria; Halobacteriales; Haloarculaceae. The record is from RNAcentral.